UACGGAGGGUGCAAGCGUUAUCCGGAUUCACUGGGCGUAAAGGGUGCGUAGGCGGAUUGGUAAGUCCGUGGUGAAAUCUCUAAGCUUAACUUGGAAACUGCCAUGGAUACUAUUAGUCUUGAAUAUUGUGGAGGUUAGCGGAAUAUGUCAUGUAGCGGUGAAAUGCAUAGAUAUGACAUAGAACACCAAUUGCGAAGGCAGCUGGCUACACAAAUAUUGACGCUGAUGCACGAAAGCGUGGGGAUCAAACAGG
Molecule: ribosomal RNA, 253 nt
Filed under: uncultured bacterium
Lineage: Bacteria
Description: partial 16S ribosomal RNA
Rfam family: Bacterial small subunit ribosomal RNA
Source: RNAcentral